Molecule: long non-coding RNA, 747 nt
Organism: Homo sapiens (human)
Lineage: Eukaryota; Metazoa; Chordata; Mammalia; Primates; Hominidae
Product: long independently transcribed non-coding RNA 2169
Exons: 3
Source: RefSeq, marked validated
UGGCAGUUCCUUGGAGAAACUAGGGGUGAUUCUAUCAUAAAAAGGGGUGGGGGAGAGUAGAUCAGGCAGACACAAUCACUGAAGGAGGAGAGUACAGGAGAUUUAGAGGAAGAAGAUCUGUGAAGAGGUUUGGGAGGAGUUAAGAAGGGAAAGCAAUCAGUCAUUUUUCCAAAGGCCAGUCUGCAGGGCUGGGACUGAGCACAGGCUGAAAUCAAGGUUGGACUACCUCUCAGCCCUUCUCAAGCCCUCCAGGCCUAGCAGUCUCCAUCUGAUCCUGUAUUGGAAAUGGGCAUGGAAGAUGCCACAACUUCUCAAGCUUUCCCUAGGAAAAGGGGUGGGUGAACUUCUGGCCUGAAGAAUCUGAGGAUGGAAGGUCAACUUUGCUCUUCUCCUGGGUUCUGGAACCAGACCUUCCUAACCUGCUCUGCUCACCUGGAGCCCCAGCCCACUGUCACCCAUGCCCUCAUCUCCAGACUCUUCUUCCAGCAACUAGGCUUGCAAAGCAGGGAUGGUGGCUUGGAGCACCAGCUUCCGUGUCAAGCAGGGCAGGCUGCACUCCCAGCGCCCUGGUGCCUCUGGCUCUCGAGGCUUGUUCCUCAUCUCUAGCUCCCUCACAGAGUUGUCCUGAGGCUCACAAUGGGAACACAUCAAUAAAUUACCUAUUGCAUUAAAAUGAGUUGUUAUUAUUGGCACAAUUGUUAUUGACGCUUAAGCCUGAAGGCAAAUAAAUGAUUUUUAGCUGCAAAA